Molecule: unclassified non-coding RNA, 350 nt
Filed under: uncultured fungus
Lineage: Eukaryota; Fungi
Description: partial contains small subunit ribosomal RNA, internal transcribed spacer 1, and 5.8S ribosomal RNA
Rfam family: Eukaryotic small subunit ribosomal RNA (bases 1-73)
Source: RNAcentral
GCAAACUUGGUCAUUUAGAGGAAGUAAAAGUCGUAACAAGGUUUCCGUAGGUGAACCUGCGGAAGGAUCAUUAUUGAAAAGCUUUGGAGAUACUGUUGCUGGUCUUUUAACAAGGCAUGUGCACGUAUCUCUAAUCCUAUUCAUCCACCUGUGCACUUUUUGUAGAAGUUCUUAGUAGGAUUGGCUUAUAGGUUUCUGACCUUGUAGUUGAUUUGAAAGGCUUCUAUGUUUUUACAAACCAUAUAAGCAUGUCUAGAAUGUUCUUUUUAUUGGGGCUUCAUUGACCCUUUAAAAUCUAUACAACUUUCAGCAACGGAUCUCUUGGCUCUCCCAUCGAUGAAGAACGCAGC